Molecule: non-coding RNA, 1889 nt
Organism: Camelus dromedarius (Arabian camel)
Lineage: Eukaryota; Metazoa; Chordata; Mammalia; Artiodactyla; Camelidae
Source: the annotation of a RefSeq genome assembly
CAGCACAUAGACCAGUGAGUCUCCCCUCAUCCUGUCGGGCUCGCCUCACCUUGCACAGCCCUGAAAUUGAAGAAGACAUUUUCCAUCUAGUGGAAGACCUGAAACAUGCUUCUCUCCAGCCUUCUGAAGGUGGCCAUGGCUUCAUGCUGGCUAGGAUCCAGCAUUGCCCAGACGGUAACUCAAGAGCAACCACCAAUGCUAGUGCAGGAGAAGGAGGCUGUGACCCUGGACUGCACAUACGACAUCAGUGAUCCAACUUAUAGUUUAUCCUGGUACAAGCAGCCCAGCAGUGGGGCGAUGACUUUCCUAAUUCGUCAGGACUCUUACAACCAGCAAAAUGCCACAGAAGGUCGCUACUCAUUGAAUUUCCAGAAGGCAAGCAAAUCCAUCAAACUCGUCAUCUCAGCCUCACAGCUGGAGGACUCUGCAGUGUAUUUCUGUGCACUGAGUGAGACCACAGUGAGAGGACGAACCCAUGGAGACUCAGUGAUGCAGACAGAAGGCCCAGUGACCCUUUCAGAAACAGCUGCCCUGACUAUCAACUGCAGUUAUUCAACCACGACGUACCCCACUCUUUUCUGGUAUGUCCAAUACUCUGGAGAAGGUCCACAGCUCCUCCUGAAAGCCUCGAGGGACAAGGAGAAGGUACUCAAGAAAGGUUUUGAAGCCAUGCACCACAGAGAACAAACUUCCUUCCACUUGGAGAAAGCCUCAGUCCAAGGGGCAGACUCGGCCGUGUACUACUGUGCUCUGACUGACACAGUGACAGGAGCUGCAGGGGGAGCUGAGCACAAACUCUGAGAAGCAGCCAAACUCAGCUUGGAUGCAGAGUGUCUCUGACUGUUUGAUCCUCUCUGGUUCCAGCACAGUCUGUGGUGGUUUGUCCCUCAAUCUCCGGUUGACACAAAGAUCACACCACUGGCUAGAGCGUAAGAAGAGGAAGUAACCCUCCCCCUUUCCCAACUCGUCAUAAGUGAAAUUGGAUACUAGCUGACACCAGUGGGUCCUCAUCCAGGACCAAAGUAGUUUUAAAUGAAAGCCACAUAAACAGGGAGUGGUCCCUUGCUCAUCCUUGCAGUCCAAGUCCAACCUCCACAGCUUGCUCUGGGCCUCCCUGGAAGAGAAGGUGGCAUCUGCAUCAUGUAUUCUUGUCGGAAUGGGGGAGGAAUGGUGAUAGGAGUAAUACAGCGCCCCAAACCAGGUUCUUCAUUAAUGCAGAAGGGAAUAAAAGGAAGAAGAAGAAACAGAAUCUUAUAGAGAGGAAAGGGACUUUAAUUCCAGUUUCUUUCUUUGGCCAGUCAGAUGGUAGACACCAUCUUGUAUUCAACAUGAAGGACAAGGACCCAAAACAUAACUGAGGUGAUGAUUCCCAUCUACAUCAUGAACAGUGCCCCUUAUCUUAUUCCUAGCCAGUUAGUUAGCUCGAUGGCCUUGCUAACAAUAAGAACUCAAGUGAGAUAGUUUUCAGUGCUCAUGAAAUAUGGUGCAAAAAAUGGUCUUGAACAGAAUUUUUUUUCAUAACAAAAUAAAUGAGUGACCAUGGCUGAGGGAAAGCCUAUAGAUUUCUCUAAUGUCUGUUUUGCAACCUCUCACAGAGGGAGAAAACUCAUGGGACAGAGAAUGUAUGGAAGUAAGAGAAGACAUUGUGUUGAAAAGAAUAAUGUAAAAGUCAGUCUCUGCAUUGCACUGCAAAUAUACUGCUGGUCUUUGCAAAUACUGGUGCAAGCUUAUCUAAUCAUAUAUGUUUAUUGGCUUACUAAGAGUCCUUUUGUUGCUUGGAAGAAAGGUUUUGAGCAUAGGAAUGAAGGACAUGCAUGUUCUCUGAUUCUGCAAUGGCUAUGAUGAUGAGAAUGACUAAAAGAUUUAUUGGCUUUGAAAUGUCUGAUCCU